AAAAAGGUAUACUCUCUGCAACGUCCCUUUCAACUUCAGUCCAAGAUUUAAUUUGGAAGUGGUCUGAACGAGUUAGGGCUUGUUCUCUCGACCUAUUCAGAUUAUUCAAAAUCUGUGGUAGCCACUGGGAGAGCUGGGAGAGAGGAAGAGAAGAGCUUCUCUCGACCUCUGCAGGGAUCAUCUAUGGUCGCCGCAGGGAAAGCUGGGAGAGAGGAAGAGAAAAGUGAAGGUUUCAUUUGAUAGAAGUCUGAAGAAAAAUCUUCUCUCGACUUCUGCAGGGAUCAUCUCUGGUCGCCGCUGGUUAGCUGGAAGAGGGGAAAAGGGGAAGAGAGGAAGAGAAGAGUGAAGGUUUUAUUUGAUAGAAGUCUGCAGGGAUCAUCUAUGGUCGCCGCUGGUCAGCUUUUGCUUCCUUGCCCUCUUUUUUUUGAAAUUUUAAUAUGGCUGCACUUCCUUUUUUGUUUAAUGAAUUUAAUUUACUAAUCUGGGUGUCAACAUAUUGAUAUAAUGUCGUAGUCGGUGGUUCUUAUCAUAUACAUGAAGUUGCCGCCUCUAAGAUAUGUUACUGAUUUUGUAAUAGUUUUUUAGUGAAUGCCUUGAUAACGUUUAAGCCAUCUUUGUACUCUGAUAUCAUCAAAUUUGAACAAUAUGAUCCAUUAAGAAACAGAGAUAAUGCAAUUGUGUAGUAAUUGUAUUACUCAUGCCUUUCAAAAUUAUAAUAACUUGGUAUUCUUCUCUGGGGGGAUUCAUCUGUGAAAUGUCCAAGGAGCUGGAUGAAAAGCUCCUACAAAUUGAAAAACUUGUUGGUUGAUGUUCAUGAUCUUAUAGGAUGAUUGCACCUAACUGAUACUUUGAUACUGAGCUCAUUUUAUGUACUGUAAAAACUAUGGCUGGUUACUUUUUGGAAGAGGGAGUGCAUCUUUUCUUUCUUUUUCUUUCUUCCUUUUUUUUUAUUAUUUAUUUAUUUAUUUAUUUAUUUUUAAGGAUUCUCAACUUGCACUAGUUUGAAGGAAACUCAUUUUUUUCAUUUUUUCUAAGGCCAGAAGAAGUGAAGGCAAAACAUCCAAAGAUUACAUAUGCAGACUUGUUAUUGUUAAAAUGCAAAUCACUAUGUACAUUUUGCUCUUUGUUCGGGAUCAUACUCAGACCCUGCUGUUCGAGUCUACAAAGCAACAGAAAGCUAUCCAGGAAUUCAUUAAGGGGUAGAAGGCUAGACAAGCACAUUCAGUGGUCUUUUUCUGUAUUAUGACAUGUACUGUAGUAACGACUUCAGCUUUAUGAGAUCCUGUAGAGCAUUCUUUUCAUUUGCCACUUUGUUAACAAAAAAUUUCAAAAAUGAUCUGGCCUCCUUGAAAAGGUUUAGACAAUAUAUUGGAAGCUAGGUACUUACAAGGCAAUUAAUAGAACACUAUUUACAGGUCUGCUCAUUUAGUAGAUGUAUGCUAGUUGAAUGAGUUGGUGCAGCAAUGGCAAUGGUGUGCCCGUUGCAAGUCUUUUGAAGCACAAGAUGUGAGAGAUGUCCUGAUUCAUUGUCCAAGUAUCCAGAAACUAUGUGAUUGACCGAUGGUUCGGAACAAACUGUCUCCAAUUACAUACAUAUUUUUUUCAUUGCUAUGAGAUGAAGUAGAUUCUCUACAUUUUAAUGUGAAAAUACUCUUUGAACUUAAAAGAACAAUUUCAAAAGUUUCCGUUGAGAGGAGGAGCUUCCUAUAAUCUAGAAA
Macadamia integrifolia is the source of this 1718-nucleotide long non-coding RNA. RefSeq lists it as uncharacterized. The transcript is spliced from 3 exons. The record is from RefSeq and is a predicted model, not a curated record. NCBI's taxonomy places the organism in Eukaryota, Viridiplantae, Streptophyta, Magnoliopsida, Proteales, Proteaceae.